UCUCCCGGCCCGAGCGGGUGCAGGGGAGGAGUGAAACCGGUUCUCGGGUCAGCCCACCCCGGGAUCUGGCAGAGGAGGGCAGGCCGAUACUCGGGUGAGCCUGUGAAAACAGCCGGCAUCUGCCCGGCGCGUCCGAGGGCCUCCAAAUAUGUGCACUCUGUCUGCAUUGCUAAUCAGGACCUCUGAGGAACCUAGGUGGUGCCAGUCCUCUCUCGAAACCUUUGUAACUAUUAAGGCUGAAGUGCCAUUUAAAGAAAAAGGAAGGCAAAGAAAUGAGCUAUAGGAAGUCGUGAGCCUUCUCUACAAACUUUUCUGAAAAAGACAGUUUCAGACCACGUCACGGUGUCCUGAGUUGUAGCUGACUGAGCGCCCUUAUUUCCACGUGGCCAGAACGGACGGAGGCAACCGUCGUGGGUGAGAAGUUCUUGUCAUUUGUGAUCCUUUAUUGUUAAUUCUCUUCGUGUAUUUGGCCUGCCGCUUUGUUUUGGUUGUCAGAGUUUGUUACUGAGACAAGAGUCCGAUCAUCCUGUUCCGACAGCCGCAGAUUGAGUUGGCAUGAAACACCAUGAGCAUAUAGAGACUUCCUCUGGGCUUUCCCAGUGAGCACAGCCUUACAGAGGAAAGUUACUGACCUUAAGGACUGAGGAGCUUGAGGACAGUAUUCUCUCACCAGUAUUAAGUGUUAGAUACAUGUAUUAAUGGAUUCAUCGUUAAAAUGAUUAGAAGAGAAUGGCCUGAAAUAUGUGAUGAUGGGGCAGAGACUGCAUCGAUAGAAAAACUUAUUUUUCCCUUAAAAUCUGACUACGAAAAUUAGACUUUUAAGAAUUUAUAAUGUGUUUUGCAAAAGAAAAAAAAUGUCUCGAUUGACUUUAAAAAACAUGAUAACGUUGCCUUCGGGCUCCCUUAAGAUUUAAAAUUCUGUUGAGGAUUACGUGCAUGUAAAUUCUUUAAUAAACCACCCAGAGAGGUCUGCUUUGGAAAGAUUUAAUCCCUGAAUGUGUUUCUAGAGAAUUCUGGUUGCUAUUCCAAAUAGGGGCAGGCAGGCCAAUGUGCCUUGGGGAGUGUUGCAUGGGCCCAGUAGCAACUCCAGGCACAACCAAAUGGCAAAGCAUUUGACAUAUAAUUCUCCCUUUUUUUAUUUUUAGUUUUUGGUAUAUGUCACUGAGGUGUCUCCUCUCCUUUUCAUUUCUAUUUCUUUGUUUUUACCUGGAGCCAAUCUUGACAUCAACUCUCUAUAUUCACUGGCUUCCACAAGAAACACAGUCAGUCCAGGGACCCUUGGGUGGCUCAAUCAGUUGAGUGUCCAGCUCUUGAUUCCGGCUCAGGUCAUGAUCUCUCGGUUCGUAGGAGCGAGCCCUGAGUUGGGGUCUGUGCUGACAGCACAGAGCCUGCUUGGAUUCUCUCUCUCCCUCUCUCUCGGCCCCUCCUCUCGUUCUCUGUAAGUAAAUAAACAUUGAAAAAAAAAGAAAGAAAUACAAUCAAUCCAAAAUCCUUAACGAAGACUUGUGGUGGCAUCCUAAAAGGCUGUGUCCCACACUUUGCAAAGUUCCACCCCACAAUCCCAUUCAACAUCUCUUACAUCACCCUUGCUCCCCAGUUCCCAGCUAUCAGGAGUCACCUAUAAGGAUGCCCUCUGUCACACAGCCUCAGCUGGAGACUCCGUUGAUACACCUUCCCCCAGGAUGUUCCCUAAAGUAAUCCUGUUUGCCACCCACCUUGCCUAUCAUGCAGGGUAAUUCAGUCACCAAGCCCAAGUUCCCUAGCUUAUGCCAACACCCUGUAAACUGGUAGCUCUCCAGCUGCAAGAAUUUAUCCUCAGAGAGCAAAGCGGGUUACAAUCAAUAAUAAUUCUCUUACGUAUAAAAGUAAAUGCUUUAUUAAACUAGCAGUACUGAUAUUUUUCCCCCAAAACCACCUUUGUCUUAUGAAUAAAUUAAAAUGUCAGGGCGCCUGGGUGGCUCAGUCAGUUGAGUGUCCAAUUCUUGAUCUCAGCUCAGGUUACCACCUGACAGUUUCUGAAUUUGAGCCCCAAGUUGGGCUCUGUGCUAACAGUGCUGAGACUGCUUGGGAUUCUCUCUCUCCCUUUCUGUCUCUGCCCCUCCCCUGCUCGUACGCCCUCUGCCUCUCAAAAAAAAAUUAAUAAAUGUUUAAAAAAUUUUUUUAAAAAGUUAGCCUCCAGCAUAUUGUUUUCUCUACCUCCCUUUAAUUUUAUCGGAUUUUAAUUUAGUCACUUCAUUACAAUAGUUGCAAUUGAACAGACUGUUUUGUCCAAGGAAUCAUUUAUUUCUUAAAGUUAGUCAAUUGAUUGAAAAACAAACAACUGAGCGCCAAAAAGUAUUUGGAACUUUGUGGUUUGUACACAUAGGUAAAUAGUUAUCUCCGUAUAAAAUCCUAGAAUCAUUAGUUUGUAGAAAUUAGGGGUUCAAUCAGAGAGUGAUAUGAUUCUCAGAAAUUGAGAAAAAUUAGAGAAUUUCAUUUUACAUAAAUUAGCCUUUAGUGUUUACACUGCUUCAUCCAGCAUCAUUAUACCAAAAUUUCUAGAGAUAACGCUUUGAUGAGAGUUAGUUAAGUCAAGUAAGGUGAAAACACUGCUGUUGAUAAACUGCAUGGCUGAUUAACCACAUCUUGGAAAUGACCUUCCUGUAAAAUUGUGUAUGGAA
Molecule: long non-coding RNA, 2660 nt
Organism: Acinonyx jubatus (cheetah)
Lineage: Eukaryota; Metazoa; Chordata; Mammalia; Carnivora; Felidae
Exons: 4
Source: RefSeq, a predicted model, not a curated record